This 2503-nucleotide long non-coding RNA is filed under the name Canis lupus familiaris (dog). RNAcentral's name for it is "lncRNA (ENSCAFG00000057420.1)". Lineage: Eukaryota; Metazoa; Chordata; Mammalia; Carnivora; Canidae. The record is from RNAcentral.
GAUCGUUUUUUUUAAGUAAUUAAAAAAAACACCAAAAAAAAAAAAAAACCCAGAAACUUGUUCUUCCAAAGCAGAGAGCAUUAUAAUCACCAGGGCCAAAAGCUUCCCUCCCUGCAUCAUUACUUCUGAGGCCUGAACCAAAAGAGAAACGCUCAUAAGCCCUUUGGGUGGCCAGGCUACCCGUGGGCCCCUCGGAGGACCUGGGCUGGGGCAGCCUCUGGGCCCAGCGUGGGGCCCGCUCCAGCCUGCGCUCAGUAUUAGCGAUGGGUCACGUCGUCCUUUCCCACCCAGCCUGGGACGGGGGCAGAGGAGGCGAGGAGGCUGUUGCUGCUGCUGUUUGCCACUAACAGGUGGGUGUCCACAUGUGUCCACGUGCGUGCUUUCUGACGGAAGUGUGAAAUCAGCGCCCAAGUUAGCCUCACCCAGUGACCUCUCGCCCGCCUGGACGGAGCAGGGCCCACCCAGUUGAGUGUUUCUGGGGAGCUGGACGGUGGAGUGCGAAAGGCUUGCAGAACUUGAAGCCUGCUCCUUCCCUUGCUACCAAGGCCUCCUUUUCCGUUUGAUUUGUCACUGCUUCAAUCAAUAACGGCCGCUCCAGAGUCAGUAGUUGAUGAAUAUAUGACCAAAUAUCACCAGGACUGUUACUCAAUGUGUGCCGAGCCCGUUCCUCGCGCUGGGCUCCCGUGUACCCGGACACUGUAACGUGUGCUGUGUUUGCUCUCCUCCCCUUCUCCCUCAUCCUUCCAUCGUUUUUCUGGGGUUUUUCUGUUUGGGUUUGGUUUGGUUUUUUAUUUCUCCUUUUGUGUUCCAAACAUGAGGUUCUCUCUACUGGUCCUCUUAACUGUGGUGUUGAGGCUUAUAUUUGUGUAAUUUUUGGUGGGUGAAAGGAAAUUUGCUAAGUAAAUCUCUUCUGUGUUUGAACUGAAGUCUGUAUUGUAACCAUGUUUAAAGUAAUUGUUCCAGAGACAAAUGCUUCUAGACACCUUUUCUUUACAAACAAACGAAUUUGGAGGGAGGGGAUGGUGACCAAGAUGAGAGGGGCUGUCCUUUUUCCCCAGGAGGGGAGAUUCGAAGAGAUGACCCCUGCCCAGACCAACCAGAUGCCACCCAAAGAAGUUAAGCCUAAGCCAACGGACCAAAUAGCUGAUGUGUUGCCAUUUUCAAAGUCAGAGCAAAACCAGGUUUGGUUCCACCCAGUGGAUUCUGUUGCCUUUCCCACCCCCCCCCCGAGAUUAUUAGCAUCAUCCUUCUUUUUAAAGCCAGACCAGGUUGAUGUUCCUUUGAAGGGAGACAGGAGGGGUGCAAGCAGAGCCGACCUUGUGUCCGCGGGAGGAAGAUAGGGCAGGCCUGAGGAGCAGAGCUCAGACGAAGGGUGGUCAUCUCCCUGGAGACCUCUGCUGUGGCCACAGGUCAGUGUAUGUUGACAGGGCAGACUGGCCCCUCUCCACCUGACGCAGCGCUUCCUGGACAGGCCAGGUGGUGGGCAUUACCGUUCAGCACACGCCCAUCACAUCCCACCCAGUACCAUCCCAGAGUACAUCCAACAUUGACAUGACCUCUAGAUUCUUCACCAUCCUGGGUGAUAGGACGACGGUGGAGGAGGUGCACUCUCUUUGCCGUCCUCUGACCCCCAGGAAAAUCUGAGCGUGAGAAACCCCCCAUCCCUUCCCUUAGCAAAACCAGAUACUUCUGAGCAAAGCCGUUACCCCCACCAGACAUUGUUUUGGGCUCACAGAACAGGGACAGAUGUGUGCUCCCUUAGCACCCAGCCCCCCCCCCAAAAGGCGAAGACAAUGCUGAGUGUCAUGACUAUUUGCACAUGGGUUUAGUAUCAGGAAGGAACCAGGCAGGGUAGCUGUCCCCUCCUGAGUCACAGUGACCCCGGCCACCCUGGACCGAGGGUGGGAGAGAGGCGUGUGUGGGACAGGGAGCAGCCCAGGACAGACUUGGCUAGAGAUGUCUCCAAAGCCCUCCAUCACAUUCACCUUCAGUUUUUGUGUUUUGGGACAAUUACUUUAGAAAAUAAGUAGGUCGUUUUAAAAACAAAAAAUAUUGAUUGCUUUUUUGUAGUGUUCAAAAAAAAGGUUCUUUGUGUAUAGCCAAAUGACUGAAAGCACUGAUAUAUUUAAAAACAAAAGGCAAUUUAUUAAGGAAAUUUGUACCAUUUCAGUAAACCUGUCUGAAUGUACCUGUAUACGUUUCAAAAACACCCCCCCACUGAAUCCCUGUAACCUAUUUAUUAUAUAAAGAGUUUGCCUUAUAAAUUUACAUAAAAAUGUCCGUUUGUGUCUUUUGUUGUAAAAUCAAGUGAUUUUUUCAUAAGGUUCUUUUACUAUUUGAAAAGAUGGGCAGCACGCAGUUUUAUUUUAUUUUUGUAAGUUUUUUAAUACGUGUGAAAGCAAAGAAUACUCAGCAUGCCUUUCUAAGUGACGCGUUUGCACCUUUUGUUGGGAAGUACUGUAUCCUGUGCUGUUAGCAUUCUCGAUAAAUCUCUCUGUGAAAG